ACGCUCGACACCUACGGGGGCAGCAGUGGGGAAUAUUGGGCAAUGGGCGCAAGCCUGACCCAGCAACGCCGCGUGAAGGAAGAAGGCCCUCGGGUUGUAAACUUCUUUUAACAGGGACGAAGUAAGUGACGGUACCUGUUGAAUAAGCCACGGCUAACUACGUCCAGCAGCCGCGGUAAUCUGAGCGGGCUGGCAAGGC
Molecule: ribosomal RNA, 199 nt
Filed under: uncultured bacterium
Lineage: Bacteria
Description: partial 16S ribosomal RNA
Rfam family: Bacterial small subunit ribosomal RNA
Source: RNAcentral